This is a non-coding RNA of Triticum aestivum (bread wheat), 115 nucleotides long. The record is from Rfam. Lineage: Eukaryota; Viridiplantae; Streptophyta; Magnoliopsida; Poales; Poaceae.
AAUAUACUCCCAUUGUUCGGAAUUACUUGUCGCAGAAAUGGAUGUAUCUAGACGUAUUUUAGUUCUAGAUACAUCCAUUUUCGUGACAAGUAAUUCCGAAUGGAGGGAGUAUUAA